Molecule: ribosomal RNA, 559 nt
Filed under: uncultured bacterium
Lineage: Bacteria
Description: bacterial SSU rRNA
Rfam family: Bacterial small subunit ribosomal RNA
Source: RNAcentral
CGGAAUCUGCCUAUUUGUGGGGGAUAACGUAGGGAAACUUACGCUAAUACCGCAUACGACCUACGGGUGAAAGCGGAGGACCUUCGGGCUUCGCGCAGAUAGAUGAGCCGAUGUCGGAUUAGCUAGUUGGCGGGGUAAAGGCCCACCAAGGCGACGAUCCGUAGCUGGUCUGAGAGGAUGAUCAGCCACACUGGAACUGAGACACGGUCCAGACUCCUACGGGAGGCAGCAGUGGGGAAUAUUGGACAAUGGGCGCAAGCCUGAUCCAGCCAUGCCGCGUGGGUGAAGAAGGCCUUCGGGUUGUAAAGCCCUUUUGUUGGGAAAGAAAAGCAGUCGGUUAAUACCCGAUUGUUCUGACGGUACCCAAAGAAUAAGCACCGGCUAACUUCGUGCCAGCAGCCGCGGUAAUACGAAGGGUGCAAGCGUUACUCGGAAUUACUGGGCGUAAAGCGCGCGUAGGUGGUUUGUUAAGUCUGAUGUGAAAGCCCUGGGCUCAACCUGGGAAUUGCAUUGGAUACUGGCAGGCUAGAGUGCGGUAGAGGGUAGUGGAAUUCCCGGU